This is a non-coding RNA of Trichonephila clavipes, 78 nucleotides long. Lineage: Eukaryota; Metazoa; Arthropoda; Arachnida; Araneae; Nephilidae. The record is from the annotation of a GenBank genome assembly.
ACCCACUAAUGACGUAGGAGAACCGUUACAGUUGGACUUUUAAUCCAAAGGUCGUGGGUUUAAAUCCCACCUAGGAUG